Molecule: ribosomal RNA, 504 nt
Filed under: uncultured bacterium
Lineage: Bacteria
Description: partial 16S ribosomal RNA
Rfam family: Bacterial small subunit ribosomal RNA
Source: RNAcentral
AUUGAACGCUGGCGGCAGGCCUACCACAUGCAAGUCGAGCGGAAACGAAGGGAGCUUGCUCCCAGGCGUCGAGCGGCGGACGGGUGAGUACCACGUGAGAAUCUGCCCACUCGUGGGGGACAACUCGGGGAAACUCGAGCUAAUACCGCAUAAUCCCUACGGGGGAAAGCAGGGGACCGUUUGGCCUUGCGCUGAUGGAUGAGCUAACGUCGGAUUAGCUUGUUGGUGAGGGAAAGGCACACCAAGGCGACGAUCCGUAGCUGGUCUGAGAGGAUGAGCAGCCACACUGGGACUGAGACACGGGCCAGACUCCUACGGGAGGCAGCAGUGGGGAAUCUUGGACAAUGGGGGCAACCCUGAUCCAGCCAUGCCGCGUUUGUGAAGAAGGCCUUCGGGUUGUAAAGCACUUUCAGCAGGGAGGAAGGCUUUGGCCGAAUAGGUUGAAGUACUUGACGUUACCUGCAGAAGAAGCACCGGCUAAUUUCGUGCCAGCAGCCGCCGUAA